GGCGAAGAAGUAUUUCGGUAUGUAAAGCUCUAUCAGCAGGGAAGAAAGGCUCGUAAGAGAGAUGACGGUACCUGACUAAGAAGCCCCGGCUAACUACGUGCCAGCAGCCGCGGUAAUACGUAGGGGGCAAGCGUUAUCCGGAUUUACUGGGUGUAAAGGGAGCGCAGACGGUGAUGCAAGUCUGAAGUGAAACCCCACGGCUCAACCGUGGGCUUGCUUUGGAAACUGUAUGACUAGAGUACUGGAGAGGUAAGCGGAAUUCCUAGUGUAGCGGUGAAAUGCGUARAUAUUAGGAGGAACAUCGGUGGCGAAGGCGGCUUACUGGACGAUCACUGACGUUGAGGCUCGAAAGCGUGGGGAGCAAACAGGAUUAGAUACCCUGGUAGUCCACGCCCUAAACGAUGAAUACUAGGUGUUGG
Molecule: ribosomal RNA, 419 nt
Filed under: uncultured Lachnospiraceae bacterium
Lineage: Bacteria; Bacillati; Bacillota; Clostridia; Lachnospirales; Lachnospiraceae
Description: bacterial SSU rRNA
Rfam family: Bacterial small subunit ribosomal RNA
Source: RNAcentral